CAAAGGCUCCAAAGGAAGCCACGGCUAACUCUGUGCCAGCAGCCGCGGUAAUACAGAGGUGGCAAGCGUUGUUCGGAAUUAUUGGGCGUAAAGAGCACGUAGGUGGAUUUGUAAGUCAGACGUGAAAGCCUUCUGUUCAACGGAAGAAUUGCAUCUGAAACUGUAAGUCUUGAGUAUAGGAGGGGAGAAUGGAACUUCUGGUGGAGCGGUGAAAUGCGUAGAUAUCAGAAGGAACGCCGGCGGCGAAAGCGAUUCUCUGGCCUAUUACUGACACUCAGUGUGCGAAAGCUAGGGGAGCAAACGGGAUUAGAUACCCCGGUAGUCCUAGCCGUAAA
This 335-nucleotide ribosomal RNA is filed under the name uncultured Planctomycetales bacterium. Its description in RNAcentral is "bacterial SSU rRNA". It matches the Rfam family "Bacterial small subunit ribosomal RNA", at positions 473 to 806 of the family's 1533-position model. The record is from RNAcentral. Lineage: Bacteria; Pseudomonadati; Planctomycetota; Planctomycetia; Planctomycetales.